AAUCAACGCUGGCGGCGUGCCUCAGACAUGCAAGUCGAACGCGAAAGUCCCCUUCGGGGGACGAAGUAGAGUGGCGCACGGGUGAGUAACACGUAGGUAAUCUACCUUCGAAUGGGGAAGUAACAACCGGAAACGGUUAGCUAAUACCGCAUAAUGCAGCGGCACCUAAUGGUGACAGUUGUUAAAGCGGGGGAUCGAAAGACCUCGCGUCUGAAGAGGAGCCUGCGGCGGAUUAGCUAGNGGUAAGGUAAUGGCUUACCAAGGCGACGAUCCGUAGCCGGCCUGAGAGGGCGGUCGGCCACACUGACACUGACAUACGGGUCAGACUCCUACGGGAGGCAGCAGUCGGGAAUUUUGGGCAAUGGGCGAAAGCCUGACCCAGCAACGCCGCGUGAAGGAUGACGGCCU
Molecule: ribosomal RNA, 408 nt
Filed under: uncultured bacterium
Lineage: Bacteria
Description: bacterial SSU rRNA
Rfam family: Bacterial small subunit ribosomal RNA
Source: RNAcentral